RNAcentral lists this long non-coding RNA (1247 nucleotides) under Cricetulus griseus (Chinese hamster). RNAcentral describes it as "lncRNA (ENSCGRG00015035377.1)". Lineage: Eukaryota; Metazoa; Chordata; Mammalia; Rodentia; Cricetidae. The record is from RNAcentral.
GGUAGCGUCUGUGACAGCUGGGGACUCAGUGAAAAUGUUGACCCAGCCUCCUAGACCAUUAUCUGAAAUGAUCCUACGUAAUCUUGUGAGCACUGAAGAUUGAAGUCCCAUGUGGGUGAUGAGUGGGGUAGGAGGGGACAUUUGGAAUGGCAGGUUUCACUAGGGUGGUUUCAAGGCACACUAAACACAGACAAGCCAGGGUCAAAAGGAGACUUUGUCCAUGAGUCGAGGGACAUCAGAGAAGAACUGAAAAAAGAAGCAGAGUCUGAGAGAGCAGGUCCUGUGCCUUAGGCUCCUCCCCGAUGCCCUAUAGGCCAGUGGAGUAUUUCAAUUUACCUUCUGGACAGAUACCUGCUUGGGACAAACAGAUGUACCGAAGCCGCUCAGAGUGAACACAGGACAGCCUGCACAAGGAUUUGAAAACAGCAUUAAAGUGGAAAUGAUAGUUGGUGGUGGUUCACUUCAAUGAAUGAGGAAAACAACCAACAAACAGAAGAGGGGAGCAAGCCAAAGCGCCAGAGUGUGAAGACUCUUUCUCCUCACUCUUCUGAACCUUGCCUUCUCUUCCACAAGGAAGUAAUUUCUUAUGAGAUUCCCAAGGCCUAAUUUGAACGCUGCCCUGUUGUCUCCUGAAACCUUCCUGGCGCCUCUUCCAAAGACCUCCCAUGAUCUUACUAGCCUUUUUAUCCCUGUCUGUAACAGAAUUGACCAAAAGCGUGGUGAACUGUGUUUCGGGCCUGGCUCAGGACAGACUGCUAACUGCAGGGGAAAUUCCUGCUCAGAAGCCAGCUAUAAUCCAGCCUUGUGUGAUCCAUGGCUGGGGCAUCAGUGGCUGAGCAAACCCAGCCCCAAAGAAUGCAAGGAAUGUGAGAAAUUCUGCUUGGGAGUCCUGAUAUACUGAACAGAGUUCAAAAACAAUUUCCUCUAUGCUCCUUUUGAAAUGGAAAAAAAAAGGGGGGGACUGCAAACAUCCAUACUCUAUAGAGAAAUAAUAUCACCCAUGUUGCCACCUUUUGAGACCUCAGAAGACCCAGGUCCCCAUCCCAUAAGUGUCCUCUCUUACUGUAAAGCUACCUUAUCAAUGACCCUCUUGCUUUUCAUCAUAAUUUUGCCACUUUCAACUGCAUCCAUAAACAGCAUAUGUUUUUAAAUUCUUCAUUUUGUUUGUAUGUGUACAUUUUUCUAUGCUUUCUGGUACAUGUGUAUACAUAGUGUGUGGGCAUGUCUGAGGGGUGGGGGAACUGGAG